Molecule: long non-coding RNA, 306 nt
Organism: Ictalurus punctatus (channel catfish)
Lineage: Eukaryota; Metazoa; Chordata; Actinopteri; Siluriformes; Ictaluridae
Source: Ensembl
CUUUCCCAUCAUGCACAAUAACUCUAAAUGUUCAAAAAAAAUAUCGUUUUACACGUGAAAUUUGUGGCCUGUAACGUGUGUCAAGUUCACGGAGAAGUUUUUUUUUCCCCCUCAGUAUUAUUAUUUCCACACCAGAGAGCGUCACGCAUUUCAGGACAAGCGGCGCUAGCGCUCAUAACCGGCUGGAAGUGGGAGAGAAAUGCGCGGCCUGUGAGGUGUCUUUAUGUUAGACAAGAAGCAUCACAUGUGUCCUUUUUGGAGAAGACUAUCCCAUAAUAAAACGCAGAAGAGUAGCGCCGCCUACAG